GUGGGGAAUCUUGCGCAAUGGGCGAAAGCCUGACGCAGCCAUGCCGCGUGGAUGAUGAAGGUCUUAGGAUUGUAAAAUUCUUUCACCGGGGACGAUAAUGACGGUACCCGGAGAAGAAGCCCCGGCUAACUUCGUGCCAGCAGCCGCGGUAAUACGAAGGGGGCUAGCGUUGCUCGGAAUUACUGGGCGUAAAGGGCGCGUAGGCGGAUCGUUAAGUCAGGGGUGAAAUCCCAGAGCUCAACUCUGGAACUGCCCUUGAUACUGGCGAUCUUGAGUGUGAGAGAGGUAUGUGGAACUCCGAGUGUAGAGGUGAAAUUCGUAGAUAUUCGGAAGAACACCAGUGGCGAAGGCGACAUACUGGCUCAUUACUGACGCUGAGGCGCGAAAGCGUGGGGAGCAAACAGGAUUAGAAACCCGUGUAGUCC
This 425-nucleotide ribosomal RNA is filed under the name uncultured bacterium. Its description in RNAcentral is "partial 16S ribosomal RNA". It matches the Rfam family "Bacterial small subunit ribosomal RNA", at positions 354 to 796 of the family's 1533-position model. The record is from RNAcentral.